Molecule: long non-coding RNA, 205 nt
Filed under: Elaeis guineensis (African oil palm)
Lineage: Eukaryota; Viridiplantae; Streptophyta; Magnoliopsida; Arecales; Arecaceae
Description: long non-coding RNA (EGUI_LNC053985)
Source: RNAcentral
UUACAAGACAUCCACCCCCUUUUUUUUCUUAUCGCACACCCACUCACAACUCAUGGUGAUAUAUGAUUUUGUCACAUAAAAUUCUAACAUUAUUCACCAGUGAAUAGGUUCCUUCCUUUAAAUAAAUAUGGCAUCUUGAUUUGAUCAUAAGUCCUAGCUAAUUUAGUAUAACUUACCUUAUCCAAAGAAGAGUCCUAAAUAAGAA